GGAUAAGGGUACAGGGACGCGCCUCUCACGCCGGUAACCCGGGUUCGAAUCCCGGUGGGAUCACCA
This 66-nucleotide transfer RNA is filed under the name Desulfosarcina widdelii. RNAcentral's name for it is "tRNA-Ser". Lineage: Bacteria; Pseudomonadati; Thermodesulfobacteriota; Desulfobacteria; Desulfobacterales; Desulfosarcinaceae. The record is from RNAcentral.